GACGAACGCUGGCGGCGUGCUUAACACAUGCAAGUCGAACGGAAAGGCCCUGCUUUUGUGGGGUGCUCGAGUGGCGAACGGGUGAGUAACACGUGAGUAACCUGCCCUUGACUUUGGGAUAACUUCAGGAAACUGGGGCUAAUACCGGAUAGGAGCUCCUGCUGCAUGGUGGGGGUUGGAAAGUUUCGGCGGUUGGGGAUGGACUCGCGGCUUAUCAGCUUGUUGGUGGGGUAGUGGCUUACCAAGGCUUUGACGGGUAGCCGGCCUGAGAGGGGGACCGGCCACAUUGGGACUGAGAUACGGCCCAGACUCCUACGGGAGGCAGCAGUGGGGAAUAUUGCACAAUGGGCGGAAGCCUGAUGCAGCAACGCCGCGUGCGGGAUGACGGCCCUCGGGUUGUAAACCGCUUUCGCCUGUGACGAAGCGUGAGUGACGGUAAUGGGUAAAGAAGCACCGGCUAACUACGUG
RNAcentral lists this ribosomal RNA (468 nucleotides) under uncultured bacterium. Its description in RNAcentral is "partial 16S ribosomal RNA". It matches the Rfam family "Bacterial small subunit ribosomal RNA", at positions 28 to 507 of the family's 1533-position model. The record is from RNAcentral.